Ictalurus punctatus (channel catfish) is the source of this 1040-nucleotide long non-coding RNA. The record is from Ensembl. NCBI's taxonomy places the organism in Eukaryota, Metazoa, Chordata, Actinopteri, Siluriformes, Ictaluridae.
GUGGUAGAUUUGGCUCCUGUAUGAAACUUUAAAGUUUGUUUGUUAUUUAUUUCUUUUCUGUUAUCUCAGCUGUCUCGACUUGCCCGUACAUGUCCACCGGAAAUGAAUAUUCAUGAGGGCAGAGCGCGAGAUCUGGACACUACAGCAGCAUCGCUAACGGAGAGUUGAUGAAACCGAGUCCAGUGUGUGUGAGAGUGAGGAUUUCACCGACAGUGAACAUUAAAAUGUGUGUAUGGUAUAAUGUUUGAGUUCUUCUGCGAUGGAGGAAAGUUUGUGGUGCGAGAAAACCUCCUCCAGCGUCAUAUCUACUUUACCGGUGUGGAUAAUUGAAUAUGCCUGGACUAACCGGAUGAUGGAGGUGUUACAGGGUAUGUGUUACAGGGUAUGUGUUACAGGGUAUGUGUUACAGGGUACAUGUUACAGGGUAUGUGCUACAUAUGUUUAGUGCCGAAACGAGUGUAUCAGCUACAGCUGUGUUACUGACUUUAGUAUAGGGCUGCACGAUUGUGGCCAAAAUGUUCAUCAUGAUUAUUUUGAUCAACAUUGAGAUCACGAUUCCAUCCAUCUUCUAUACCACUUACUCCUUUUCAGGGUCACGGGGAAACCUGGAGCCUAUCCCAGGGAGCAUCGGGCACAAGGCAGGGUACACCCUGGACAGGGUUUUUUUAAAAUCACGAUUAUUCAUUGAUUUUAGGGACAACAUAUUUUUUUAUUGCACUUUCACAUUUAAAUAAACAGACCACUGCUUUCACCAGUAUGUUGUGCUACAUUCCUGUUAAUGUACAAAUCUUUGCAUCAAAUUAGACUGGUCCUUAAAGUGCAUCAUCUCGUAGAAGCAAAAUAUAAAUAAAAUUGUACCCAAAAUAAUAGGAUGAGUAAAAAUGAAAAUGGCAUCAAUCAAAUAUAACAAUAUGCAACCAAAUGAAAAUAUGCAGGUCUAUGCAGAAAAGGCAAUAACCGUGUUUACCUGAGGAGAGACGCAGCCAAAUCACCCAUUAGAGCGGUGACGCAGGGAUGAUGUCAUUUUGUACCGAAACCCA